GCCGUUUCUCGACGAGAUCUGAGGUGUAGAGGGGUCAAUGGCAUGAGACCGAUACAGCCAUGGGUGGCUGGUUGCCGAUGAGAGAGGGAGGACGACGGUAGUGUCAAUUUGGGGUGGUUCGUCGGCCUGGUUAUGCUGGAAAUGGCGAUAGUGGCACCAAAAAAAGGAGAAAAAAAGGAUGGUGGUGGUGCGUUGGCGG
This 199-nucleotide long non-coding RNA is filed under the name Capsicum annuum. Its description in RNAcentral is "long non-coding RNA (CANN_LNC007388)". Lineage: Eukaryota; Viridiplantae; Streptophyta; Magnoliopsida; Solanales; Solanaceae. The record is from RNAcentral.